UUCCCUUUCAAGAGAUUUGCUAGUGGAAGGUGAGAGCCUCAUCGAAGAGGGGCCUCGUAAGUGGAUGUAGGUCAUUUGACCGAACCACUGUAAAAUCGGCGUAAUCUCUGGUUUGCAUUUACUUAUUGUCAUUUAUAUUAUUGCAAACCAUUUGCACUUUAAUGCUAUACUGCUUUGUCUCCGUCUUACUUAUCUCUUCAAGUUAAA
Molecule: long non-coding RNA, 207 nt
Filed under: Musa acuminata (dwarf banana)
Lineage: Eukaryota; Viridiplantae; Streptophyta; Magnoliopsida; Zingiberales; Musaceae
Description: long non-coding RNA (MACU_LNC011306)
Source: RNAcentral